AUGUCAAAAGUUAGCUUUCUUGCCGAAGUUCCGUCUUUGCCCGGAGUCUGUUGUGCCCGGAUCAUGGAAGGAGUGAAGGAGGGCGUCCAACUGUUUUUGAGAGCAAGGAGCCACCGGAGUCUGUUGUGCCCGGAUCAUGGAAGGAGUGAAGGAGGGCCGUCCAACUGUUUUGAGAGCAAGGAGCCACAGGCAGAACACCGCCAUAUCCAGCUACGGCGAGCACAAGUUGUGCCUCAAACCACCAGACGUGUCGCCAUGUACUCUUUUUCCCUGGAUGGAUGCCAGCGAUUUUCUUCUCAUUACCAACUUGUUGCUCCUGCUGUUAUCCAGCUCGAUCUCGUCUUUCUUGCAAAGAAAGAAAGAACCGGUCCUGUUCACAUGGCGAACGGGAAGGGGUCAGGAAUUCCUCUUCAACGCCGCCCUCCUCGAUCAUGCAAUACGACAGUUUCUGGUAUCAGUAUCUCAUUUUUUUUUUGCGGGUGA
This 483-nucleotide ribosomal RNA is filed under the name Triticum aestivum (bread wheat). RNAcentral describes it as "partial small subunit ribosomal RNA". The record is from RNAcentral. Lineage: Eukaryota; Viridiplantae; Streptophyta; Magnoliopsida; Poales; Poaceae.